AAAGCGUCCGCAGGCGGCCUUGAAAGUCUGUUGUUAAAGCGUGGAGCUCAACUCCAUUUCAGCAAUGGAAACUACAAGGCUAGAGUGUGGUAGGGGCAGAGGGAAUUCCCGGUGUAGCGGUGAAAUGCGUAGAUAUCGGGAAGAACACCAGUGGCGAAGGCGCUCUGCUGGGCCAUAACUGACGCUGAUGGACGAAAGCUAGGGGAGCGAAAGGGAUUAGAUACCCCUGU
RNAcentral lists this ribosomal RNA (230 nucleotides) under uncultured bacterium. RNAcentral describes it as "partial 16S ribosomal RNA". It matches the Rfam family "Bacterial small subunit ribosomal RNA", at positions 562 to 791 of the family's 1533-position model. The record is from RNAcentral.